RNAcentral lists this ribosomal RNA (1366 nucleotides) under metagenome. RNAcentral describes it as "bacterial SSU rRNA". It matches the Rfam family "Bacterial small subunit ribosomal RNA", at positions 104 to 1458 of the family's 1533-position model. The record is from RNAcentral.
GGGUGAGUAACGCGUAGGAAUCUGCCUUAUAGUGGGGGACAACGUGGGGAAACCCACGCUAAUACCGCAUACGCCCUAUGGGGGAAAGCGGGGGAUCGUAAGACCUCGCGCUAUGAGAUGAGCCUGCGUUAGAUUAGCUAGUUGGUAGGGUAAAAGCCUACCAAGGCGACGAUCUAUAGCUGGUCUGAGAGGACGAUCAGCCACACUGGGACUGAGACACGGCCCAGACUCCUACGGGAGGCAGCAGUGGGGAAUAUUGGACAAUGGGCGCAAGCCUGAUCCAGCAAUACCGCGUGUGUGAAGAAGGCCCUAGGGUUGUAAAGCACUUUCAAUGGGGAGGAAAACCUGCCGGUCAAUACCCGGUAGCUUGACAUUACCUAUAGAAGAAGCACCGGCUAACUCCGUGCCAGCAGCCGCGGUAAUACGGAGGGUGCGAGCGUUAAUCGGAAUUACUGGGCGUAAAGCGUGCGUAGGCGGUUCGUUAAGUCAGAUGUGAAAGCCCUGGGCUCAACCUGGGAACUGCAUUUGAAACUGGCGGACUAGAGUUUAGUAGAGGGGAGUGGAAUUUCAGGUGUAGCGGUGAAAUGCGUAGAUAUCUGAAGGAACACCAGUGGCGAAGGCGACUCCCUGGACUAGAACUGACGCUGAGGUACGAAAGCGUGGGUAGCAAACAGGAUUAGAUACCCUGGUAGUCCACGCCGUAAACAAUGUCAACUAGCCGUUGGUCCUAUAUACAGGAUUAGUGGCGCAGCUAACGCAUUAAGUUGACCGCCUGGGGAGUACGGCCGCAAGGUUAAAACUCAAAUGAAUUGACGGGGGCCCGCACAAGCGGUGGAGCAUGUGGUUUAAUUCGAUGCAACGCGAAGAACCUUACCUGGUCUUGACAUGCACGUAGUAGAAGCCUGAAAGGGUAACGAGGUAGCAAUACCAGCGUGCACAGGUGCUGCAUGGCUGUCGUCAGCUCGUGUCGUGAGAUGUUGGGUUAAGUCCCGCAACGAGCGCAACCCCUACGUCCUGUUGCCACCCGAUCGUAAGAUUGGAGCACUCUGGACGGACUGCCUCGCUUCUACGAGGAGGAAGGUGGGGAUGACGUCAAGUCAGUAUGGCCCUUACGACCAGGGCUGCACACGUACUACAAUGCCCGGCACAAAGGGGAGCCAACCGGCAACGGUGAGCAAAUCCUAAAAACCGGGCCCAGUUCAGAUUGUCGUCUGCAAUUCGACGGCAUGAAGCUGGAAUCGCUAGUAAUGGCGCAUCAGCUACGGCGCCGUGAAUACGUUCCCAGGCCUUGUACACACCGCCCGUCACAUCAUGAAAGCCGUUUGUACCCAAAGCCGCCAAGCUAACCGCAAGGAAGCAGGCGCCU